CACACCCUGGGGCCCGUUGUCCCUACAUCUGGUCCAGGUCCAGCCUCCCUCAGACAGAAGCCAAGACAGCCAGCCCCUACUUUUCUCUGAAUUUGAGGACCUAUAAUCUCAGGGUUGGCCGCCCAUUCUUCUGCCCCACUGCCCAUGCUGCCAUCUUAUGGAUGUCACACCUACUGUGCCAGGCUCUGUGCUGGGUGCUGGAGAGUAAACUCUAUCCUUGGUUCCCCAUGGAACUUGAUGUCUAGUGGGGUUAGACAAGUUACCACUCAGCUGCAAUCUUGUAUGAUUGCAGGGUGCAGGCACAGGGGGUGUGGAAGCCCAGAGAUGGGAACGUCAUGCAGACUUAGGGGUGGGGAGGAGGUCAGGUUAGGUAAGAGCAACAGUAACAGCUGACUCUUGGUAGCAUUUACUAUGUGCCAGACAAUGUUCUAAGAACCUCAAUUCUAUAACGUAGGUAGUAUUUAUUCCAUUUUACAGGUGAGGAAACUGAGGCCCAGGAAACUGGACAGUUUGGUGACUGGCUCAAGGUCUCAAAGUCUCUUGCGCCUAUCAUCCUAGCUCAGCCUGCCUCUUCUGGCCCUGUGGAUUCCCUGAUCUCCACCUUUGGCCCAUAAGUUAAGAACCCAGACUCCAGAGCUUAGGGUUGACUUCCAACUCCAUCACUUACCAGCUGUGUGACCUUGGGCAAGUUUCUUAACGUCUUUGUGCCUCAGUUUCCUCAUUUGUAAAAGGGAAAUCAUAACAGCACCUACUUAUUGAGGUUGUGAAGAUUAAAUACAUGUAAAGAGUUAGAUGUGUCUGGCGCAUAAUAAACACUAUGUACA
Molecule: long non-coding RNA, 824 nt
Organism: Diceros bicornis minor
Lineage: Eukaryota; Metazoa; Chordata; Mammalia; Perissodactyla; Rhinocerotidae
Exons: 2
Source: RefSeq, a predicted model, not a curated record